AGACCCGAAACCCGGUGAUCUAGCCAUGGGCAGGUUGAAGGUUGGGUAACACUAACUGGAGGACCGAACCGACUAAUGUUGAAAAAUUAGCGGAUGACCUGUGGCUGGGGGUGAAAGGCCAAUCAAACCGGGAGAUAGCUGGUUCUCCCCGAAAGCUAUUUAGGUAGCGCCUCGUGAAUUCAUCUCCGGGGGUAGAGCACUGUUUCGGCUAGGGGGCCAUCCCGGCUUACCAACCCGAUGCAAACUGCGAAUACCGGAGAAUGUUAUCACGGGAGACACACGGCGGGUGCUAACGUCCGUCGUGAAGAGGGAAACAACCCAGACCGCCAGCUAAGGUCCCAAAGUCAUGGUUAAGUGGGAAACGAUGUGGGAAGGCCCAGACAGCCAGGAUGUUGGCUUAGAAGCAGCCAUCAUUUAAAGAAAGCGUAAUAGCUCACUGGUCGAGUCGGCCUGCGCGGAAGAUGUAACGGGGCUAAACCAUGCACCGAAGCUGCGGCAGCGAACGUAUCACUUAAAGCGAUUCAGCGGGUUACGAUUGACGGAGCGAAGCGACGUCAAAGCGUAUACAAAGUCGAGUCGGUUUAAGGAUACGUUCGUUGGGUAGGGGAGCGUUCUGUAAGCCUGUGAAGGUGUGUCGUGAGGCAUGCUGGAGGUAUCAGAAGUGCGAAUGCUGACAUAAGUAACGAUAAAGCGG
RNAcentral lists this ribosomal RNA (694 nucleotides) under Salmonella enterica subsp. enterica serovar Infantis. RNAcentral describes it as "partial 23S ribosomal RNA". It matches the Rfam family "Bacterial large subunit ribosomal RNA", at positions 711 to 1320 of the family's 2925-position model. The record is from RNAcentral. RNAcentral also lists the same sequence under 1 other name. Lineage: Bacteria; Pseudomonadati; Pseudomonadota; Gammaproteobacteria; Enterobacterales; Enterobacteriaceae.